AGAAUCCCAGGGACGGGGGAGCCUGGUGGGCUGCCAUCUAUGGCGUUGCGCAGAGUCGGACAUGACUGAAGCGACUUAGCAGCAGCAGCAGCAGGUAUUUGCAGAUGGACUGUUCCCUGAGCUUUGCUCUUGCGUGGUCAGCUCCUUCUCAUCCUUCAGGUGUCGGCUGUCAUCUUCUCUGCCAGGCCUUCCUUCACCAUGGAAACUAGGCUGCACCUACUCACGCUGUGUCCCAUUACUUUGUGUUAUCAUCUUCAUAAAACUUAGCAGCAUCUGCAAGCACCUUCACUUAUUUGUCG
Long non-coding RNA from Bos taurus (domestic cattle), 299 nucleotides. The record is from Ensembl. Lineage: Eukaryota; Metazoa; Chordata; Mammalia; Artiodactyla; Bovidae.